AUAAAAAUAUACAGCAACACUCAUAUAAUCGCAGGGAUAUGGCCUGCAAGUUUCUACCGGAUUACCGUAAAUAAUCUGACUAUGAGUGAGUCAUAUAUACUU
RNAcentral lists this non-coding RNA (102 nucleotides) under Bacillus sp. (in: firmicutes). RNAcentral's name for it is "Bacillus sp. Guanine sequence". It matches the Rfam family "Purine riboswitch aptamer". Rfam says of the family: Riboswitches are metabolite binding domains within certain messenger RNAs that serve as precision sensors for their corresponding targets. Allosteric rearrangement of mRNA structure is mediated by ligand binding, and this results in modulation of gene expression. Lineage: Bacteria; Bacillati; Bacillota; Bacilli; Caryophanales; Bacillaceae. RNAcentral also lists the same sequence under 1 other name. The record is from RNAcentral.